Molecule: long non-coding RNA, 997 nt
Filed under: Homo sapiens (human)
Lineage: Eukaryota; Metazoa; Chordata; Mammalia; Primates; Hominidae
Description: long non-coding RNA NONHSAT079940.2
Source: RNAcentral
GACAAGGUUUUCCAAGCAAGAUGAAGCCCAACAUCAUCUUUGUACUUUCCCUGCUCCUCAUCUUGGAGAAGCAAGCAGCUGUGAUGGGACAAAAAGUGGAUCAAAAGGCCGAUUACCAAGUGAAUUUUCCCAAUUUCCACACGGACAAAAGGGCCAGCACUAUUCUGGACAAAAAGGCAAGCAACAAACUGAAUCCAAAGGCAGUUUUUCUAUUCAAUACACAUAUCAUGUAGAUGCCAAUGAUCAUGACCAGUCCCGAAAAAGUCAGCAAUAUGAUUUGAAUGCCCUACAUAAGACGACAAAAUCACAACGACAUCUAGGUGGAAGUCAACAACUGCUCCAUAAUAAACAAGAAGGCAGAGACCAUGAUAAAUCAAAAGGUCAUUUUCACAGGGUAGUUAUACACCAUAAAGGAGGCAAAGCUCAUCGUGGGACACAAAAUCCUUCUCAAGAUCAGGGGAAUAGCCCAUCUGGAAAGGGAAUAUCCAGUCAAUAUUCAAACACAGAAGAAAGGCUGUGGGUUCAUGGACUAAGUAAAGAACAAACUUCCGUCUCUGGUGCACAAAAAGGUAGAAAACAAGGCGGAUCCCAAAGCAGUUAUGUUCUCCAAACUGAAGAGCUAGUAGCUAACAAACAACAACGUGAGACUAAAAAUUCUCAUCAAAAUAAAGGGCAUUACCAAAAUGUGGUUGAAGUGAGAGAGGAACAUUCAAGUAAAGUACAAACCUCACUCUGUCCUGCGCACCAAGACAAACUCCAACAUGGAUCCAAAGACAUUUUUUCUACCCAAGAUGAGCUCCUAGUAUAUAACAAGAAUCAACACCAGACAAAAAAUCUCAAUCAAGAUCAACAGCAUGGCCGAAAGGCAAAUAAAAUAUCAUACCAAUCUUCAAGUACAGAAGAAAGACGACUCCACUAUGGAGAAAAUGGUGUGCAGAAAGAUGUAUCCCAAAGCAGUAUUUAUAGCCAAACUGAAGAGAAAGCACAGGGCAAGUCU